AUGCACGCUGGCGGCGUGCCUAAUACAUGCAAGUCGAGCGAACAGACGAGGAGCUUGCCCCUCUGACGUUAGCGGCGGACGGGUGAGUAACACGUGGAUAACCUACCUAUAAGACUGGGAUAACUUCGGGAAACCGGAGCUAAUACCGGAUAAUAUAUUGAACCGCAUGGUUCAAUAGUGAAAGACGGUUUUGCUGUCACUUAUAGAUGGAUCCGCGCCGCAUUAGCUAGUUGGUAAGGUAACGGCUUACCAAGGCAACGAUGCGUAGCCGACCUGAGAGGGGAUCGGGCCACCCGGAACCUGGAACCGGGUCCGACUCCCACGGGAGGGAGGAGGAGGGAAUUCUUCGGCAUUGGGGAAAGGCCUACCGAGGCACGCCGGGUGGGUGAAGAAGGUUCUCCGAUUCGUAAACUCUGUUACUAGGGAAGAACAAAUGUGUAAGUAACUAUGCACAUCUUGACGGUACCUAAUCAGAAAGCCACGGCUAACUACGUG
Molecule: ribosomal RNA, 495 nt
Filed under: uncultured bacterium
Lineage: Bacteria
Description: partial 16S ribosomal RNA
Rfam family: Bacterial small subunit ribosomal RNA
Source: RNAcentral